CUAUUUAUCGAGCUAACAAUAUUUGUAUUUGAUAAUAUUAUACUUAUCUAAUUCAGGUUUAGAUCACACAUCUGCAAAAAAGAUAGAAAUUAUGAACAUGAUCGCGCCGUGAUCUGUAACAACACCACCGGCACCACCUUGGGAGAGAAGGAGACGACAACUCUCGAAGGAAGCGGUGGGAACUCACCAGAUCUGUCGCUGUUGCAAACGUAAAAGCAAAGACGAGUCGUUGACACUUAAAUCGCUGAAUUUGCAGCCAUGUAGGUGAAGCUGCCGGGGCGAUUAUUCUCCAUCUCCAUCUUCGUAUCUGUGGGAAUUGAAGAUCUAUCAAAAUCACAGCAUAAAAAACCGUGGAUGCUUAAGUUUCUCUCUCUCUCAUAAAUAUU
This 386-nucleotide long non-coding RNA is filed under the name Capsella rubella. RNAcentral describes it as "long non-coding RNA (CRUB_LNC003793)". The record is from RNAcentral. Lineage: Eukaryota; Viridiplantae; Streptophyta; Magnoliopsida; Brassicales; Brassicaceae.